RNAcentral lists this ribosomal RNA (433 nucleotides) under uncultured bacterium. RNAcentral's name for it is "partial 16S ribosomal RNA". It matches the Rfam family "Bacterial small subunit ribosomal RNA", at positions 29 to 507 of the family's 1533-position model. The record is from RNAcentral.
AGCGAACGCUGGCGGCAGGCCUAACACAUGCAAGUCGAACGAACUCUUCGGAGUUAGUGGCGGACGGGUGAGUAACACGUGGGAACGUGCCUUUAGGUUCGGAAUAACUCAGGGAAACUUGUGCUAAUACCGAAUGUGCCCUUCGGGGGAAAGAUUUAUCGCCUUUAGAGCGGCCCGCGUCUGAUUAGCUAGUUGGUGAGGUAAAGGCUCACCAAGGCGCCGAUCAGUAGCUGGUUUGAGAGGAUGAUCAGCCACAUUGGGACUGAGACACGGCCCAAACUCCUACGGGAGGCAGCAGUGGGGAAUCUUGCGCAAUGGGCGAAAGCAUGACGCAGCCAUGCCGCGUGAAUGAUGAAGGUCUUAGGAUUGUAAAAUUCUUUCACCGGGGACGAUAAUGACGGUACCCGGAGAAGAAGCCCCGGCUAACUUCGUG